This 254-nucleotide ribosomal RNA is filed under the name uncultured bacterium. RNAcentral describes it as "partial 16S ribosomal RNA". It matches the Rfam family "Bacterial small subunit ribosomal RNA", at positions 524 to 776 of the family's 1533-position model. The record is from RNAcentral.
CACGUAGGGCGCAAGCGUUGUCCGGAAUUAUUGGGCGUAAAGAGCUCGUAGGCGGUCUGUUGCGUCUGCUGUGAAAACCUGCGGCUCAACCGUGUGGUCUGCAGUCGAUACGGGCAGGCUGGAGUUCGGUAGGGGAGACUGGAAUUCCUGGUGUAGCGGUGAAAUGCGCAGAUAUCAGGAGGAACACCGGUGGCGAAGGCGGGUCUCUGGGCCGAUACUGACGCUGAGGAGCGAAAGCGUGGGGAGCGAACAGG